RNAcentral lists this unclassified non-coding RNA (418 nucleotides) under soil metagenome. RNAcentral's name for it is "partial contains 5.8S ribosomal RNA, internal transcribed spacer 2, and large subunit ribosomal RNA". The stretch from base 1 to 120 matches the Rfam family "5.8S ribosomal RNA", at positions 35 to 154 of the family's 154-position model. The record is from RNAcentral.
GAUGAAGAACGUAGCGAAAUGCGAUAAGUAAUGUGAAUUGCAGAAUUCAGUGAAUCAUCGAAUCUUUGAACGCAUCUUGCGCUCCUUGGUAUUCCUUGGAGCAUGCCUGUUUGAGUAUCAUGAGCAAAUCUCAAAGUCAAUUCCUUUUGUUGAUUCAAUUGGUUUUGCUUUGGACUUGGAGGCCUUGCAGAUUUCACAGUCUGCUCCUCUUAAAUGCAUUAGCUGGAUCUCAGUAAUUAUGCUUGGUUCCGCUCGGCGUGAUAAGUAUCACUCGCUGAGGACACUGUUAAAAAGGUGGCCAGGAAAAUACUGAUUGAACCGCUUCUAACGGUCUAUUAAGUUAGACAAUUACCCUUAAGUUUGAUCUCAAAUCAGGUAGGACUACCCGCUGAACUUAAGCAUAUCAAUAAGCGGAGGA